UUUCAAGCACAUGUUCUAAAUGUGCAGAGGAAGUGACUAAUACUUGGACUGAUAAAGACUAAGACCCGAUAAAAGUAGUAAUAACUUUUGGAUUAUCUAUUUUUUAAGUAGAGUGCAUGUGGACUUAUUAAGAAUGAGAGCUGAGAGAGUGGAGACUCCACAGGAGGUACACCCAGAUUAAUUAUUUUAAUAGGAUUUAUUUUUCCCAAAACUUGGGCGGCGGGGCCCGGUGAAUUCAAGGCCAGCUUGGUCUAUGUUUAGUAUUCCAGACCAGCUAGAGCUACUUAGUGAGACCCAGUCUCAAAGAACCAAAUGGGGGCUAGAGAAACGGAUCAGCAGAUAACAGCAUUGCCUGGUUUAUCCAAGGGCCCAUUUCUAGAACCAUGAUUGCUCACAGUCACAGGUGGUUGGAUAGACAGACCCCUGACCCUAGGGACCCAAAUGGUACAAUAUAUGCAUGCAGGCAAAAGCACUCAUGCAUAAAAUAAACCUAAGUAAAGAAAUUUAAACCCUAAUAAGUACAUUUUCAAUUUAUUCAUUUAUUUAGGGUAUCACUGACCAUCCUAAAACUCUGGCCUCAAACUCAGAGAUCUGCCUACCUCUUCCUACCCCCAACCUCCAAAUACCAGGAUUAAAGGCAUGUACUGCCAAUGUGUUUCUUCCCUUUUUUUUUUUUUUUUUUUUUUUUUUUUGUAAACAUGAUUAGCAUUUUCAUGUACCAUUCAUUAUGGGCUCUCAGUAAGUCUUUUUUACUUCUCAGGAAAUCUUUGUUUUUACUAGUAGUCAUUGUUUGUUGUUGGUUAUGAACAAUCUAAAGUAUAGAAGAAGUUAAUAACUUAAUGAAAAAUAGUGAGGCCUACAAACUGUUUCAUGUUAACCAACACAAACUCUUAAAAGUCAGCCUGCUCUACAAAGUGAGUUCCAGGACAGCCAGGGCUAUACAGAGAAACCCUGUCUUGAAAAACCAAAAGGAAAAAAAAAGUCAUCAAUUGCUUCAAAAGCCAUCAAGCCAGAUGACUUGCUUCAGGCCCUGGGAUCCACGUAGUGGAAGAGGAAUGGACUCCUGAAAUGGGUCUGUCCUCUGACCUAGACUUGGGCAUGUGCAUGUAGAACACCCACAGAGAAGAAGAACUAAAAUAGAACAUUGAAAAAGGUCUGAAGAAGAAAUCAGUGCUUCGGAAGUUCAGGUGUUUGCUUGAGACUCGCUUUGCUGUCUGGAUGCUGUUCACAUAAGUGAGACAGCUUAAGGAUUAUCCGAAAGAUUGAGUCUUCAUCUAUAAAUAUGCAGUUUAGCAUUCUCCAACAUGAAACCCUAACCAUGACUGCUAAGGCUAAGGACUGUCCAUCAUUGUGGGGCUUUGGAACAACAAAAACAUUUAAAAUUCCCAUCGAACAUUUGGAUUUCAAGUAUAUUGAAAACUGUUCAGAUGUGAAACACCUGGAAAAAAUUCUUUAUGUGCUGAGGUCUGGUGAAGAAGGCUACUAUCCUGAACUCACGGAAUUUUGCGAGAAGUGCCUCACCAACUUGGCUCCUAAAAGUCGAGCUCUGAGGAAGGACAAGCCUGCAGAGACAGCAUCCAGCUUUUCAGCGGAAGAGUGGGAAAAAAUCGACAGUGAUCUAAAGAGUUGGGUGUCAGAAAUCAAAAGAGAGGAAAAUACAUGUCACUUCCAUGACCCUGAAAACCAUCCCGGAGUGGAAGAUCCUCUGCCUCCUGUCCGCGGCUCCACCUGCUGCCCUCACAGUGGCAAGGAAACAUAUUCUAAAAGUAAGACAGCUAAGAAGAGGAUUCCAAGGGAUUAUGCAGAAUGGGAUAAAUUUGAUGUGGAAAAAGAAUGUUCAAAGAUUGAUGAGGAUUACAAAGAAAAGACUGUCAUAAACAACAAGGCUCAUCUGUCUAAAAUUGAGACAAAAAUAGAAACAGCAGGUCUGACUGAGAAGGAAAAGAGUUUUCUUGCCAAUCGUGAAAAGGGAAAAGGGAACGAGGCUUUCUACUCUGGGGACUAUGAAGAGGCCGUGAUGUAUUACACCAGGAGCUUAUCAGCCCUUCCCACCGCCAUUGCCUAUAACAAUCGAGCUCAGGCCGAAAUCAAGUUGCAGAGAUGGAGCAGUGCUCUUGAAGACUGUGAGAAGGCCUUGGAGCUAGAUCCCGGAAACGUAAAAGCUCUCCUGAGACGAGCCACUACAUAUAAACAUCAAAACAAGCUCCAGGAAGCUGUGGACGACCUGAGAAAGGUGCUGCAGGUGGAGCCGGACAACGACUUGGCCAAGAAGACCUUAUCAGAGGUUGAAAGAGAUCUGAAGAAUUCAGAGCCUGUCUCUGAGCUCCAAACCAAAGGGAAGAGGAUGGUUAUUGAAGAAGUUGAAAACUCGGGAGAUGAAGGUGGAAAGGGAAGCGCAGAUGAGCGUGAAGAUGGUGGCUCGGAUGAGGCGGCCAUGGGCAACAUUCAGAAGAAGCUGAUGGUCCGCCGGAGCGAGGGUGGCAGGCGGUCGCGGCGGGGCCGGACACCGGGGCCCCGAGCUGAGCAGCAGGGAGGCCUGCGAGAGACAGCGACGGCCAGCACCGGCGACAGUCACUACCCGGAGGAGCCGCGAGCCGCUGACAACCCCAGCGGCCUCAAGAGACGGGGCAACGAGCUGUUCCGCGGCGGGCAAUUCGCAGAGGCAGCCGCGCAAUACUCGGUGGCGAUAGCGCAGCUGGAACCCACAGGAAGUGCAAAUGCGGAUGAGCUAAGCAUCUUGUAUUCAAAUAGAGCGGCAUGCUACCUCAAAGAAGGGAACUGCAGGGACUGCAUCCAGGAUUGUAACAGGGCUCUGGAACUUCAUCCGUUCUCAGUGAAGCCUCUUCUGCGGCGAGCAAUGGCCUAUGAGACCUUAGAGCAAUACAGGAACGCAUAUGUGGACUAUAAAACAGUGCUGCAGAUAGAUUGUGGGAUCCAGCUGGCGAGCGACAGUGCUAACAGAAUAGCACGAAUCUUAACAGAGCUAGAUGGAUCAAAAUGGCGGGAGAGACUGCCACCCAUCCCAGCUGUACCCACAUCUGAGCCACUGCGAGUUUGGCUCCCUGCUGCAGAGACCCCAGACCAAGAUCCCUGUCCCAACAACUGCAUGCCGAGCAUCACAGAUGAAAAAAUGUUUCAAGCCCUCAAGGAAGAAGGAAAUCAACUUGUAAAGGACAAAAAUUAUAAAGAUGCCAUUAGUAAAUACAAUGAAUGCUUAAAGAUUAACAGCAAGGCAUGUGCCAUCUAUACAAACAGGCUCUGCUUUCUGAACCACGGACUUUCCUUCCUCAUUGGAGAAGCACCCUUGGCCUUCCUUUUUCAACCUAGAGUGUGCUCGCCUCUCAGUACCCUCAGAGUGACUGGCUUACCACCCCCAGCUCUCUGCACCCAAUACCUGCCUUAGACCACUGUUUUCUACUGCCUUCUCUUUCCCCUUGUCCCACUCUCCCAGUUGUAGCUAGAGUGAGCAUGUCACCCAAGGGAACAAGGCCCUUUGUGACCUGGCCUGGAUCCACCCUUCCAUUGCAGCCAGGCACUGCUUUUCCAGGUUCAUCAAGAACACCAUGCUCUGCCCUGGGAAGGCUAUGCCCAGGCUGUGUCCUUGGGCUCCCUCUGACCCUCUUCUCUCUCCCUUAACUCUAAGCCUUGGCAAGAUCAUUCUCCUUCAUACGCCAAUAUGCCUGCUUUUAACUUGACGAACUUACACCCCACAACGUCUCCUGGCUGCUCUGCCACUUGCUUUUCCCCACAAGGUCUUGGGCCUUGGCUGUGAGCUUCCAGACCCACUUUACAGAUAUCAUUAGAGAGGCUCAUUCAGUUCCCUGUCUCCACCCUGUUGCAUCUUGUUUUGGAUCAGGCUAUAUUUUGUUUGCAGUGGGCUCCCCAGUGAUGUAAUUUUAUCCCCUGUGAGAGUGAGCACUGUGGCUGGCUGCAGGUGUAAGUGCUAGUUGAAGCAGCUGUAGCUUAAGGCAGUCUUAGUGAGCUGUAGCUUAAGGCAGUCUUAGUGAGCUGUAGCUUAAGGCAGUCUUAGUGAGCUGUAGCUUAAGGCAGUCUUAGUGAGCUGUAGCUUAAGGCAGUCUUUCUUACUGAGCUGGGUUGAUCCUUACUAGCUACUUCUUCCUUUUAAAAAUAGAUUUAAAAAAAACUAUAGAAAUUAUUUUAGCUUUUUAAGAUUUUUUAACAUUUUUUUAUUAGAUGUUUUCUUCAUUUAGAUUUCAAAUGCUACCCCCUUUCCUAGUUUCCUCUCUGAAAAUCCCCUGUACCCUCCCUCUUCCCCCUGCUCCCCAACUCACACUCCAGCUUCCUGGCCCUGGCAUUCCCCAUACUGGGGCCUAGAAUCUUCGCAAGACCAAGGGGGCUCUCUUCCCAGUGAUGGCCAACUAGGUCAUCUUCUGCUACAUAUGCAGCUAGAGACACGAGCUCUGGGGCUACUGGUUGGUUCAUAUUGUUGUUAAUAACAAGAUUUUGCUGACAGGACCCUGAUAUAGGGUCCCCAGUGAAGGAGCUAGAGAAAGUACCCAAGGAGCUUUUUAAGAUUUUUAAUAGUGUGCAUGUUUGUGGGUGUGUAGACAUGUGCACAUAGGUGUGUGGGCAUGGGUGUGCAGGCCUGUGCACAUGGGUGUGCACGUGUGUGGGUGUGUGCACCUGGGUACAGAGGUGAGAAGCAGGUGUCAGAUCCCCUACAGCAGCCAGUUAUAAGCUACCCUAUGUGGACACUGGGAACUGAGCUCAGGUCCUCUGCAAGGGCCGCAAGUGCUUUUAAACACAGCUAACCUCCCCAGCCCCGCUAGCUGUCGAAAUACACUGAUCAGCUUCCUCUCCUUUCCUUGCAUUAUGUGUGCCAGGGCUCUCUGUUACCUGAAGCUGGGCCAGUUUGAAGAGGCAAAGCUGGACUGUGAGCAGGCGCUUCAGAUAGACGGCGAGAAUGUGAAAGCCAGCCACAGACUAGCGCUCGCCCAGAAAGGACUCGAGAACUGCCGGGAAAGCGGGGUGGACCCCAGUCAAGUCCUCCUAAGCCCAGAUUCCAGUGAAGCCGCCCGGCACCUGGACACUAAGAAUGACACAGCACCUCCCAGCAAAGGAAGGGAGAGGAGGAGAAUCCAAGUCCAAGAGGUGGAUGGCAGCAGUGAUGAGGAGCCUGAGAGACCUGCAGAGGCCUCUGCUACCUCCGCACCUGCCAGAGAUGGUGUGGAAGAUGGAGGGUCUGCAGAACCAGCAGAAAAACUCGACGUCUCCAAGCCUACUAAUGCCUAUGAGUUUGGACAGGUCCUAAGCACUAUCAGUGCCAGGAAAGAUGAAGAGGCCUGUGCACAUCUUUUAGCCAUCACUGCACCCAAAGACCUGCCACUGUUGCUAAGUAACAAACUUGAGGGGGACACGUUCCUCCUCCUCAUUCAGUCACUUAAAAGUCACCUUGUGGCUAAAGACCCCUCCCUGGUGUAUGAGCAUCUCCUGUAUCUGAGCAAAGCAGAGAGGUUUAAGACGAUGCUGACACUAAUUAACAAAGGCCAAAAGGAGCAGAUGGCGCAGCUGUUUGAUGGUCUGUCAGACACACAGUCCGACGGUUUGACGGCAGAGGAUGUACAGGCCCUAAGAAGGCAGUAUGAGCUUUAACUUGGGGUUGCUGAGUUCAAGACAGCAAACAUUGUGAUGCAGUUGCAUGGGUAAAGCCACACCCAGAAGGAUCCCUGUUUGGACAUCAGAUGUUGUACUUAUUUUUAUAUCUAGAACAUGUAUAUUCUAUAAUCUGAUUUUUAUUUAUUGUAAAUAUUCUCUUCUGUACUAGAGCCAACACCUUUAUAUUUAAUAACUAUAUUCAGAACUUGGCAAAUUAUACUCUAGCUUAUAAUACAUUUUCUUUUAAUGACCUACCCAUUAAAAAUUUAAAAUACAUUCUUUGUGGUGGCAGUUCUUUCAGGUUUGACAGCAAUCAGUGACUUUAGUCCUUUAAAAGCAAAUGUUAGCAGUUGCGACUCCAUCACUUUCUGUCCCACUCAAAUGCACAAAAUCCACUUUAGAGAAGUGGCUUACUGUCACUUGAGAUGAAAUUCAACACUUAAUGUCUAUGAGAUCAUUAUUAGUUUAUUAAUUUAGAGCCCUAAAGGAGUUACUUUUUCUAAUAUUUAGUGUGACUUUGUCUUCUACAUUGCUUGUAAGCAAUAAAACUGUAUGAAACAAAUUCACCCUGCUUUUGUAUUUGAAUUGUCCCCCACCCCAACUUUUUGUUUUCUGCUUUAUUUCUUUACUCUAACAAGUGGAAAAAGUCACUGGAUACUCCUUUUUCUGUGUUAAAGGUAUUUUCUACACAAUAAACAUUCAAGCCUUUAUUUACUGUGA
Molecule: RNA transcript, 6336 nt
Organism: Mus musculus (house mouse)
Lineage: Eukaryota; Metazoa; Chordata; Mammalia; Rodentia; Muridae
Gene: Spag1
Gene name: sperm associated antigen 1
Exons: 21
Source: RefSeq, marked validated